RNAcentral lists this ribosomal RNA (460 nucleotides) under uncultured bacterium. RNAcentral describes it as "partial 16S ribosomal RNA". It matches the Rfam family "Bacterial small subunit ribosomal RNA", at positions 338 to 795 of the family's 1533-position model. The record is from RNAcentral.
CCUACGGGGGGCAGCAGUGAGGAAUAUUGGUCAAUGGACGAGAGUCUGAACCAGCCAAGUAGCGUGAAGGAUGACUGCCCUAUGGGUUGUAAACUUCUUUUAUAAAGGAAUAAAACGAGGCACGUGUGCCUUUUUGCAUGUACUUUAUGAAUAAGGAUCGGCUAACUCCGUGCCAGCAGCCGCGGUAAUACGGAGGAUCCGAGCGUUAUCCGGAUUUAUUGGGUUUAAAGGGAGCGUAGAUGGGUUGUUAAGUCAGUUGUGAAAGUUUGCGGCUCAACCGUAAAAGUGCAAUUGAUACUGGCAGUCGUGAGUACAGAUGAGGUAAGCGGAAUUCGUGGUGUAGCGGUGAAAUGCUUAGAUAUCACGAAGAACCCCGAUUGCGAAGGCAGCUUACUAAACUGUGACUGACAUUGAUGCUCGAAAGUGUGGGUAUCAAACAGGAUUAGAUACCCGGGUAGUC